UACGUAGGGGCCGAGCGUUGUCCGGAGUUAUUGGGCGUAAAGCGCGCGCAGGCGGCCUCGCGCGCCCGACGUGAAAGCCCCCGGCUUAACCGGGGAGGGUCGUUGGGGACGGCGGAGCUUGAGGGCGGGAGAGGUCGGUGGAAUUCCCGGUGUAGUGGUGAAAUGCGUAGAGAUCGGGAGGAACACCUGUGGCGAAGGCGGCCGACUGGGCCGACCCUGACGCUGAGGCGCGAAGGCGUGGGGAGCGAACGGG
Molecule: ribosomal RNA, 253 nt
Filed under: uncultured bacterium
Lineage: Bacteria
Description: partial 16S ribosomal RNA
Rfam family: Bacterial small subunit ribosomal RNA
Source: RNAcentral